RNAcentral lists this ribosomal RNA (371 nucleotides) under uncultured Glomus. RNAcentral describes it as "SSU rRNA". It matches the Rfam family "Eukaryotic small subunit ribosomal RNA", at positions 569 to 945 of the family's 1831-position model. The record is from RNAcentral. Lineage: Eukaryota; Fungi; Glomeromycota; Glomeromycetes; Glomerales; Glomeraceae.
AGCAGCCGCGGUAAUUCCAGCUCCAAUAGCGUAUAUUAAAGUUGUUGCAGUUAAAAAGCUCGUAGUUGAAUUUCGGGAUCAAUAUGUUUGGUCGUGCCUCGGUACGUACUAGCAUAUUGGUUUCUCCUUUCUGAAGAACCAUGAUGUCAUUUAUUUGGUGUCGUGGGGAAUCAGGACUGUUACUUUGAAAAAAUUAGAGUGUUUAAAGCAGGCUCACGCUUGAAUACAUUAGCAUGGAAUAAUGAAAUAGGACGUUUGAUUCUAUUUUGUUGGUUUCUAGGAUCGACGUAAUGAUUAAUAGGGAUAGUUGGGGGCAUUAGUAUUCAAUUGUCAGAGGUGAAAUUCUUGGAUUUAUUGAAGACUAACUACUG